AGGGAAUCUUCCACAAUGGACGAAAGUCUGAUGGAGCAACGCCGCGUGAGUGAUGAAGGGUUUCGGCUCGUAAAACUCUGUUGUUGGAGAAGAACGGGUGUCAGAGUAACUGUUGACAUCGUGACGGUAUCCAACCAGAAAGCCACGGCUAACUACGUGCCAGCAGCCGCGGUAAUACGUAGGUGGCAAGCGUUGUCCGGAUUUAUUGGGCGUAAAGCGAGCGCAGGCGGUUUUUUAGGUCUGAUGUGAAAGCCUUCGGCUUAACCGGAGAAGUGCAUCGGAAACCGGGAGACUUGAGUGCAGAAGAGGACAGUGGAGCUCCAUGUGUAGCGGUGAAAUGCGUAGAUAUAUGGAAGAACACCAGUGGCGAAGGCGGCUGUCUGGUCUGCAACUGACGCUGAGGCUCGAAAGCAUGGGUAGCGAACAGGAUUAGAUACCCUGGUAGUCCAUGCCGUAAACGAUGAGUGCUAAGUGUUGGAGGG
This 482-nucleotide ribosomal RNA is filed under the name uncultured bacterium. RNAcentral's name for it is "partial 16S ribosomal RNA". It matches the Rfam family "Bacterial small subunit ribosomal RNA", at positions 356 to 830 of the family's 1533-position model. The record is from RNAcentral.